Molecule: ribosomal RNA, 396 nt
Filed under: Theileria sp. OT3
Lineage: Eukaryota; Apicomplexa; Aconoidasida; Piroplasmida; Theileriidae
Description: SSU rRNA
Rfam family: Eukaryotic small subunit ribosomal RNA
Source: RNAcentral
AUGUAAUUGGAAUGAUGUAAAAACCGACCUCUUCCAGAGAGUUCAUCUGGAGGGCAGGUCUGGUGCCAGCAGCCGCGGUAAUUCCAGCUCCAAUAGCGUAUAUUAAAAUUGUUGCAGUUAAAAAGCUCGUAGUUGAAUUUCUGCUGUAUUGCAUUUUCUCUUUUUAUAUGAGUUUUUGCAUUAUGGCUUAUUUCAGUAUUAAUUUUUUAUUAUUACUGAAUGUUUACUUUGAGAAAAUUAGAGUGCUCAAAGCAGGGUUUUGCCUUGAAUAGUUUAGCAUGGAAUAAUAAAGUAGGACUUUGGUUCUAUUUUGUUGGUUUUAAGUACCAAAGUAAUGGUUAAUAGGAACAGUUGGGGGCAUUCGUAUUUAACUGUCAGAAGGUGAAAUUCUUAGAG